CAGACCAGAGAGGAAGAAGAUGGAAGACAGAAGAUGGAAGAAUAGGACUGCCGCCAUGAAGAGGACCGCCCUGGAGGACCACCGGCAUGAAGAAAGAAGCACCGCCUGAGUCCAGUUGGGAAGGAGGGAGUGUCUGCUCUUCUUAUUUCCUCAGCCCCUUUAACUGUGUUCCAGCCAAACCUCAUCAACAGAGCUAAACUGUCAGCUUCUAAGUGCUUUGUGUUGUUGCCAGCAUUUCAUGAAAGAGAUGGAGAACAAGAUUGCAGUCUUCUAGAUAUGAAGGGGGCCCCCAGGUUGACAACAUGUGGCUGUCAUCUACACGCCAUGGCAAAUGCUUAUGCCAUCAACGGGUCACUAUUGUGUCCAAAAGAAAACUGUUAAGGGACGCUAAAAAAUUAAAACGAUCUAUGAAAAUA
This is a long non-coding RNA of Bombina bombina (fire-bellied toad), 416 nucleotides long. RefSeq lists it as uncharacterized. Lineage: Eukaryota; Metazoa; Chordata; Amphibia; Anura; Bombinatoridae. The transcript is spliced from 3 exons. The record is from RefSeq and is a predicted model, not a curated record.